This is a non-coding RNA of Ictidomys tridecemlineatus (thirteen-lined ground squirrel), 1903 nucleotides long. The record is from RefSeq and is a predicted model, not a curated record. Lineage: Eukaryota; Metazoa; Chordata; Mammalia; Rodentia; Sciuridae.
UAGGGUCUUGAGGGAGGGGGUCCCGAGAGGGGCUAUAAUCAGGUCAGGGCCCCAGGAGGGCGGGGGAGGGGGGACACUCGGCCUUCAGCUUCGGCCCCUGCGCCCCACCCCCCACAGAAGGAGCGGGGGAGUUGAGGCUGCGGGCACCCUAUGUCCCUCCCCACGCGUGAUGGCGCCCCGCGGGGAGGGAACGCCGCCUGGGGGCAAGAAGCCUCUGCGCUCCAGCCGGUGCCCGCUGCGGCCUUGGCAUUGUCAGAGGGGAGGGGCCGUGUCCUCCAGGAGGAGGGGGAGGUGCGCUCACGCUCCUGCUCUCCGCCUCCAUUCUGCCGGAUCCCUAAGUGGAGAAACUGAGUCUCCACGACCGAGGGACUUCUGGACACGGCUUCGCUCAGAGACCCAGGGCUGGUGAUUGAACCCAGGGCCCUGCGCAGCGAGGCAAGCGCUCCACCACUGGGCUACAUCCCCAGCGCUUGCUCUCUCUUCUGGUACAAACAGCUCCCUCUCUCAGAGGCGGGAACCCCAACUUGAAUUCAAUUCCCACCUAUCCCCCCAACUCUGGACUCUUACCGCGCCAAACCUGAGACCGCCGCAGUAGAGGAACGCUGCCUGGGGGCCCGCCCCCUCCCGUGGAAUCCCGGCGGUCCCACCCCCCAACCCCGGCCCAGGGCCUGGAACUGGGAGCCGGAGGGCAAGUGUGGAGCCUGCCGGGGCCUCCUGAAGACAGGGGAGCGCCUCAGAUCCGCACGUUCAGGUUUCAAUCUUCAGGAGACCAGCUAGACCUUAAUAUUUCAGGCAAAGUAGCAGGAGGUGGGUCAGUACCUAGAGAGUGAGGUUCCUGCCCUGAAAAGGAUGGAAGUCCCAGCUGGGAGGACCUGGGGCCGGGGACAGCGACUUCAGAGUGGUGGCCAGUUGCCUGGACUGGCUGGGCCACGUGCGCAGAAGAGUAGAAGCAGAAAAGUUAGACGCUUGCAGAGCCUGGGGGGAAAGAGGCUUCGGCGGCUGGAGGGGCGAGGCUCUGCCGGGCGGGGUCUAAAGCCAGUGGGUCUGGGGGCCUGUUUCGGAAUGUGAGGGGCUGAGCUGGAGCGGAGAGUCAGCCUGCGCCUGGCGCCCACCUCUUCCCCACUACCCCACCCCCCUUCCCCUGGCUGCCUCCGCUUCCCUCGAAAAACCCGCCGCCCAGGAAACCGCUGGGGGCGCUCAGACCGCAGUCCCCCCACCCACCAUCCCCCAUCUCCCCCACCGCGACCGCCCAACCCACCUGAAGGGGCCGUGGCUGCCAGGGGUACCCCCCUCCCGCCGACUCCCCCCACACCUGCGGGCAGCACUAUUUAUAACUCCGCGCCUAUUCCGGGCCUCUCGGCUGGAGCCGGCUGCCGAGCUGUGCUAAUCGCCGCCGGGAUCUCUGCGCCCCCCAGGGCCAGGGGAGGUAAAUUUAGCUUCAGGAAGCUCCGGGGAACAUUUUCCAAAACUCCACGUCCCAGAGAAGGCGAAACAGAACCCCUCUGCGCUCAGCCUCCCUCCGGCGAGCCACUAGGGGGCGCAGAUCUCCGGGUCCGGAACCCAGCCUGCUAGGAGUUAGGGUCGCUGCUUUGAUCCUGGGGUAGGUAAAGCAUAGAGACGCGUGCGCUCUGGAAAGUUACUGGGUGCCGGACUAGUCAUUGGCAGGAGAUAUGGGUAUGCUCCGAGGCCUCCAAAUCUGCAGUCUGAGAACCACUGAAAAAGGGAGUGGGGACUUAACGUGUGUUGAGAGGGAAAUAACACAUGUAAACGAAAUGCAAAUAAGAGCCUAGGCCCUUGGGGUCUGCGCUACAGGGUGCCAGCAAUGUUUGCCACACUUUUCUUUUUUAUUUUUUUGAUUUCAUUUUUUGGUACCCAGGAUUAAACUCAAGGACAUUCAACCAUC